CCCCAGACUCCUACGGGAGGCAGCAGUGGGGAAUAUUGCACAAUGGGGGAAACCCUGAUGCAGCGACGCCGCGUGAGUGAAGAAGUAUUUCGGUAUGUAAAGCUCUAUCAGCAGGGAAGAAAAUGACGGUACCUGAUUAAGAAGCCCCGGCUAACUACGUGCCAGCAGCCGCGGUAAUACGUAGGGAGCAAGCGUUAUCCGGAUUUACUGGGUGUAAAGGGAGCGUAGACGGCUGUGCAAGCCAGAUGUGAAAGCCCGGGGCUCAACCCCGGGACUGCAUUUGGAACUGUGUAGCUGGAGUGUCGGAGAGGCAGGCGGAAUUCCUAGUGUAGCGGUGAAAUGCGUAGAUAUUAGGAGGAACACCAGUGGCGAAGGCGGCCUGCUGGACGACAACUGACGGUGAGGCGCGAAAGCGUGGGGAGCAAACAGGAUUAGAUACCCGCGUA
Molecule: ribosomal RNA, 446 nt
Filed under: uncultured bacterium
Lineage: Bacteria
Description: bacterial SSU rRNA
Rfam family: Bacterial small subunit ribosomal RNA
Source: RNAcentral